Molecule: long non-coding RNA, 2322 nt
Filed under: Elaeis guineensis (African oil palm)
Lineage: Eukaryota; Viridiplantae; Streptophyta; Magnoliopsida; Arecales; Arecaceae
Description: long non-coding RNA (EGUI_LNC013932)
Source: RNAcentral
CCUCUUCCUUCCUUCUUCUCUUCCAUGAGAGGAUGAGAAUGAUGCUUUGACACCUUUAUAAAAUUUUUUUUUCUAUUAUUGCUCUACCAAACCAUCUCCCUCUUCACCUUCUUUCUCUUCUCCCUCAAGAGCUACAAUUUUGUUGGCAUCAAAAUCCCUUCUUUCUCUAUCCUCCUUUGAUUUCGAACUUUAUCACUGCAACUUCAUUGGAAGCCAUCAUCUUUGAUCGAGCUUUGCCAUCUCCACCAUCCUCUGGUAAAUUCUUCCUCAUCUUUCUAUUAUUCUUUUUACUAAGAAGAUUGCUGUCAAGAUCACUAAAUAUGCUAUUUUAUUAUUAUUAUUAUUAUUUCUAUCUUCCUCUGUACAUGCGAUCAGAGCACCACUACUCAAAGAGGCUAUAACUCUAUCACUAUCAGGCCGUAUUGCCCUAAUUGUUUCUCCUUUUUUUUUUUCCUCUCUUUUUCUCUCUUCCUUAUAGAUGCCUCACAUGUCUCUUUCUUUCUCAUUAUUUCUCUCACAGAAUUUUCUUGUACUCGGAUGAUUGGUAUAGAACCAACCACCUUCUUAUCUUUCUCUCUAACCUAAUUUAAUAAUCUUAGAUCAAGAUGAGCGCAGACCAUUAAAUCAGGGAUGCGCAUCGGGUUCUAAAAAUUUAUCCCAAGAUUGAGGUGUUUACAACUCUUUUUAUGAUUUUUAGAUUAGGAAUAGAUGAGAUUAGGAUAAUUGGCUUAGAUUUGGGAUGCGCACAGGACUCUUGGCCACUAGUCAAAUAGAUCUAAAGUCCUAUCCUUGAUGUAUAUCUUUCUCUUAUAUGUUUAAUUUUGAGUGAGCUCCAUGAUUCUAAGGACCCUUUAGAUGCUCAAGUUUUAAAUAGUAACAUAUGUGUCUUAGAUGUAAACCUAAUCUUUGAUUGUAAUUAUCUAGAUCGUGUAUAAUAUACUUUGGUGAUAAUUCUGUCUUGCAAGCUAAGGUAAGUUCCUCUAUCUAAUAUUCGAUUACAUAUAUAUGAAUUAAUUCUCUUUACAUAACUUGGUAGAAAAAUAUUAGCUUAACUUAAUAUUAAAUAAUAUCUAUAUAGAUUUUGAAUUAUGUUAUGUAUGCUCCAUAUAAGUAGAUUUUGAGUAAUUGGAUCUUAAAGUAAAACUUUGUGAGCAUGAACUAUCCUCUUUUACUAUUUUAAAAUAUUGUUAAAUUUAUUGAUUAUGAUGUAAUCUCUCUAAUUUGACUAUGAUCACACGGUUUCGGAUAUGAUCUUUUUUUGGAUCUCUAGUGAGGCGAUCACUGGCACAUGUUGAUGGACAAUAUAUUGUAGUUAGGAGCUAAUUUUCUUUUAAAUCACGCCAAUGGGGUGAUUAUUGGUACAUACUAUUAUAGACAUGUUUUUCAUGUGAUUUUAAAGCUAGUUCCUUUUUGGUCUGUAGUGGGACGAUCACUGGUGCAUGCAAAUGAGCGACAUAUUGUAGUCAGGAUCUAAAUUCUUUUAGGACUUACCACUGGCCAAUUGUGGCCAUAGUCAAAAAAACUAGGAGAGGAAGAGAGUUGAAUAAUUGAGUACAAUGAUUGAAAAUUAUAUUUUUUUCUUCUAUUGUUCAAAUAUGUUGAUAAUUUUGAAUACAUAUAUACUUUGUAUUGCUCAAUAUGUCUUAAAUUAUAAAUUAAAAAUUUUAAAGUAUGAUACUAUGAUUUAUGUGUAAAAUGCUUAACCGAAUAGUGUAUAGAGGUGACUUAUUAGGCUUUUAGCUCACUCCUAUUUUUGUUAUUUUUUUCAAAUAUCAACAUCUAGUGCGAAUAGGAUUGUAGAGUAUGAGCAGAAGGAUUAGGAUAUUGAAAUGUUUUCUUAUCUAAAAAUAAAUGUUAUGAAAUUAAACUGAUUCAGAUUUGAAAAUAAUAUUAGGCUUGUUUAUCUGAUCAAAAGUUCUAAAUAUUUUAGUUUACUUGCACUGGUACUACAUAAAUUUUUAGAUCUUGCAUGUUUUAUAAGUAAAAUCCUGUAAUAUAUAUGUGGUCGUUUGUCACAUGCUCGCUUGUGCUAGUAAGACGGGAUGUGAUACCAAAAGAUUUGAAUUGAGGCCAUAGUGAUGAAGGCUCUCUAACGAAACAAACAAGACAUAUAGAUGAUGCGCAUAGCAAAGGACCACCUUGGUGUAGAAAAAGCAGGACAUGCAGAUGAUGCUUAUAUCAUCGAAGUCUUCCUUGAUGCAGAGAAAAUGGAACAUCCAGAUGAUGUUUGCUACCGAGGUUCACCUUGAAGUCUUGAUCGUUCGAUGACGAAUAUAUCCGAAGAGAAGUUUCGAGUAUAAAGACUGAGGUGGUAUAACUCCA